AUGGCAUUUGAGCUGAUGCCAAAAAAUAAUUGGUAUAGCAUUUUUGGGGGCACACCCAAAUGUGUCAAACCUAAAACAAAAGUAUAAAAAACUUACAUUAAAGCAGCAUUCAGAUUAACAAAGUACAGAUGUGCCAGCAGGAAUAGUGGAGGACUGUAUACAGAAAUUCAUUGAAAUUGAUCAGGCGUGGAAAAUUCUAGGGAAUGAAGAGAAAAAAAGAGUAUGAUCCUCAGUGGCAUGAAGAUGAUCUAAGAAAUAUGGAACCAGUAGAUGCUCAACUAUACCUUGAAAAAGUGCCUUGGAAAAAAGAUGAUGACUCUUUUUCCCCAAGUAGCCAAUGUGGUAGAAAACACAGUGUUUCCAAGGAUGAAGCAGAGGAAGUUAACCUAUUUUCUUGUGAUACAUGUUCACUAAUUACAGAACUUCUUCAUUAUUGGUAA
RNAcentral lists this long non-coding RNA (440 nucleotides) under Homo sapiens (human). RNAcentral's name for it is "non-protein coding lnc-FSTL4-4:1". Lineage: Eukaryota; Metazoa; Chordata; Mammalia; Primates; Hominidae. The record is from RNAcentral.